GUGCCUACGCUAAGCUACGCCCGAUUUCAUUGGGCUUGCAGCGUUUCUAGGCAACUCAUAAUCCUUUGGUCCACGGUUCGAGUCCGUGUGGGCCCACCA
RNAcentral lists this transfer RNA (99 nucleotides) under Pseudomonas oryzihabitans. RNAcentral's name for it is "tRNA-Ile". The record is from RNAcentral. Lineage: Bacteria; Pseudomonadati; Pseudomonadota; Gammaproteobacteria; Pseudomonadales; Pseudomonadaceae.